UCAAAUUAAAUCAAAACCAAACCAAAUCAAUACUCAUUCGGAAUCAAAUGAAUUGAUUGUUGAAAAAUGGAUGCUAGGUAUUGAAGAACUCAAUGAGACACUGAUUUGGCUCGUCCACGAAAGAGAAGAACCGACCAAGCGCGAAUUGAAUAGCCUCUCUCUCAUCGUGUCUGUUUGGUUUGGAUUUGGCUGUGGUUUGGGGUUUUUAUUUUGAUUUCGAUUUCUUGACGCCAACGAAACGUAUCUUUUCCGUUCCUUGUUCGCCAAAUCAAAUCUUUACCAACGGCUAUUAUCAAUCUCUUGUUUC
This 307-nucleotide long non-coding RNA is filed under the name Actinidia chinensis (golden kiwifruit). RNAcentral describes it as "long non-coding RNA (ACHI_LNC007727)". The record is from RNAcentral. Lineage: Eukaryota; Viridiplantae; Streptophyta; Magnoliopsida; Ericales; Actinidiaceae.